This 202-nucleotide long non-coding RNA is filed under the name Mytilus galloprovincialis (Mediterranean mussel). Lineage: Eukaryota; Metazoa; Mollusca; Bivalvia; Mytilida; Mytilidae. The record is from RNAcentral.
GUCCUUUACAACGCCCUUAGGGAGGAAAUAGUAGCAGAUAUUACUACACCCUCAAAUGGAUUGUAGAAGUCCAGUUUACAAUAAUGGUACUUUCAGCACCAUAACGCGCUUUGGUUGUCUUGUCCAGCUCUGAAUGGUCCAAAAUGCUGUACAAUGGAUUAUGAUUUAAAAAUUGAAGAUAAAAGAUUAAGUUUUGAAUAUC